GUGCUUCUCUGGCCUCAGCUCUGAAGUCCAACCCCUCCCAUCUGACAGAGCUGGACCUGAGUCUGAACGACCUGCAGGAUUCAGGAGUGAAGCUGCUGUCUGAUCUUGUGGAGAGUCCACACUGUAAACUGAAGACUCUGAAGACUCUGAAGACUUCGAGUGGGUGAGUGGACGGCAGCUGACAAACACAGAGAAUCUGACUCUGAUGUCAAACAGGAUGUGAAAAAAAAGCUCCAUGCCCG
Molecule: long non-coding RNA, 242 nt
Organism: Larimichthys crocea (large yellow croaker)
Lineage: Eukaryota; Metazoa; Chordata; Actinopteri; Sciaenidae
Exons: 3
Source: RefSeq, a predicted model, not a curated record